RNAcentral lists this transfer RNA (73 nucleotides) under Pteropus alecto (black flying fox). It matches the Rfam family "tRNA". Rfam says of the family: Transfer RNA (tRNA) molecules are approximately 80 nucleotides in length. Their secondary structure includes four short double-helical elements and three loops (D, anti-codon, and T loops). Further hydrogen bonds mediate the characteristic L-shaped molecular structure. tRNAs have two regions of fundamental functional importance: the anti-codon, which is responsible for specific mRNA codon recognition, and the 3' end, to which the tRNAs corresponding amino acid is attached (by aminoacyl-tRNA synthetases). tRNAs cope with the degeneracy of the genetic code in two manners: having more than one tRNA (with a specific anti-codon) for a particular amino acid; and 'wobble' base-pairing, i.e. permitting non-standard base-pairing at the 3rd anti-codon position. Lineage: Eukaryota; Metazoa; Chordata; Mammalia; Chiroptera; Pteropodidae. The record is from Rfam by way of RNAcentral.
GGUUCCAUAGUGUAGCAGUUAGCAUGUCUGCUUUACAUGCAGAAGGUCCUUGGUUCGCGCCCGGGUGGAGCCA